This 405-nucleotide ribosomal RNA is filed under the name uncultured bacterium. RNAcentral describes it as "bacterial SSU rRNA". It matches the Rfam family "Bacterial small subunit ribosomal RNA", at positions 356 to 773 of the family's 1533-position model. The record is from RNAcentral.
GGGGAAUAUUGCACAAUGGGCGAAAGCCUGAUGCAGCGACGCCGCGUGCGGGAUGACGGCCUUCGGGUUGUAAACCGCUUUCAGCUCUGACGAAGCUUUUGUGACGGUAGGAGCAGAAGAAGCACCGGCUAACUACGUGCCAGCAGCCGCGGUAAUACGUAGGGUGCGAGCGUUGUCCGGAAUUAUUGGGCGUAAAGAGCUUGUAGGCGGCUUGUCGCGUCUGCUGUGAAAACCCGGGGCUUAACCCCGGGCUUGCAGUGGGUACGGGCAGGCUAGAGUGUGGUAGGGGAGACUGGAAUUCCUGGUGUAGCGGUGGAAUGCGCAGAUAUCAGGAGGAACACCGAUGGCGAAGGCAGGUCUCUGGGCCAUGACUGACGCUGAGAAGCGAAAGCGUGGGGAGCGAAC